RNAcentral lists this ribosomal RNA (440 nucleotides) under uncultured bacterium. RNAcentral's name for it is "bacterial SSU rRNA". It matches the Rfam family "Bacterial small subunit ribosomal RNA", at positions 338 to 795 of the family's 1533-position model. The record is from RNAcentral.
CCUACGGGUGGCUGCAGUGGGGAAUCUUGGACAAUGGGCGCAAGCCUGAUCCAGCCAUGCCGCGUGAGUGAUGAAGGCCCUAGGGUUGUAAAACUCUUUCGCCGAGGACGAUAAUGACGGUACUCGGAGAAGAAGCUCCGGCUAACUUCGUGCCAGCAGCCGCGGUAAUACGAAGGGGGCUAGCGUUGUUCGGAUUUACUGGGCGUAAAGCGCGUGUAGGCGGGUCGUUAAGUUGGGGGUGAAAUCCCGAGGCUCAACCUCGGAACUGCCUUCAAAACUGGCGACCUGGACUCAAGCAGAGGCAAGUGGAAUUGCGAGUGUAGAGGUGAAAUUCGUAGAUAUUCGCAGGAACACCAGUGGCGAAGGCGACUUGCUGGGCUUGUAGUGACGCUGAGACGCGAAAGCGUGGGGAGCAAACAGGAUUAGAUACCCUUGUAGUC